Molecule: ribosomal RNA, 305 nt
Filed under: uncultured bacterium
Lineage: Bacteria
Description: partial 16S ribosomal RNA
Rfam family: Bacterial small subunit ribosomal RNA
Source: RNAcentral
ACAGCAGCAGCCGCGGGAAUACAGAGGGUGCGAGCGUUAAUCGGAUUUACUGGGCGUAAAGCGUGCGUAGGCGGCUUUUUAAGUCGGAUGUGAAAUCCCUGAGCUUAACUUAGGAAUUGCAUUCGAUACUGGGAAACUAGAGUAUGGGAGAGGAUGGUAGAAUUCCAGGUGUAGCGGUGAAAUGCGUAGAGAUCUGGAGGAAUACCGAUGGCGAAGGCAGCCAUCUGGCCUAAUACUGACGCUGAGGUACGAAAGCAUGGGGAGCAAACAGGAUUAGAUACCCCAGUAGUCCCUGUCUCUUAUAC